Molecule: ribosomal RNA, 475 nt
Filed under: uncultured bacterium
Lineage: Bacteria
Description: bacterial SSU rRNA
Rfam family: Bacterial small subunit ribosomal RNA
Source: RNAcentral
AGGACGAACGCUGGCGGCGUGCCUAACACAUGCAAGUCGAGCGAGGAGAUCCUCGGGAUGAUCCUAGCGGCGGACGGGUGAGUAACACGUGGGCAACCUGCCUCAUAGAGAGGAAUAGCCUUCCGAAAGGGAGAUUAAUACCUCAUAACAUUGCAGUUUCGCAUGAAACAGCAAUUAAAGGAGCAAUCCGCUAUGAGAUGGGCCCGCGGGCGCAUUAGCUAGUUGGUGAGGUAACGGCUCACCAAGGCGACGAUGCGUAGCCGACCUGAGAGGGUGAUCGGCCACAUUGGGACUGAGACACGGCCCAGACUCCUACGGGAGGCAGCAGUGGGGAAUAUUGCACAAUGGGGGAAACCCUGAUGCAAGCAACGCCGCGUGAGUGAUGACGGCCUUCGGGUUGUAAAGCUCUGUCUUCAGGGACGAUAAUGACGGUACCUGAGGAGGAAGCCACGGCUAACUACGUGCCAGCAGCCGC